AUGACUACUAUCCUAGAUACGUCAUGGUAUGGAAUUCUUUGGACUACAAGAUCAAACCAAAUAGUAGAACAUGGUCUCAUAAAUAAUUUUCUACAAAUUGGAAUUCAUUUAGCAACCGAUUUUUAUCUUCCGUUUAAACACAUUUUCAUAAUUCUUCUAGUUUUUUAA
Molecule: ribosomal RNA, 168 nt
Filed under: Triticum aestivum (bread wheat)
Lineage: Eukaryota; Viridiplantae; Streptophyta; Magnoliopsida; Poales; Poaceae
Description: partial small subunit ribosomal RNA
Source: RNAcentral